This 181-nucleotide unclassified non-coding RNA is filed under the name uncultured Geastrum. RNAcentral's name for it is "sequence contains ITS1". The record is from RNAcentral. Lineage: Eukaryota; Fungi; Basidiomycota; Agaricomycetes; Geastrales; Geastraceae.
CUGAAGACCAUAGAGUUUUGAGACUGCGUUCAAAUGAUCGCGUGCUCGACUCUUACUCUUUAUCCACACACACCUCUGUGCACCAUGGGACGAAACUGUAACCGGGAGUAGUCCCCUUUUAUAUAAACACGAGUUAUUAUAUGCAUGUUAUUUUAAUGCUCUACGGAGUAAUAAUAAUGUA